UCCGUAGGUGAACCUGCGGAAGGAUCACUAGUGAAUCGGCGCUCGCGUAGAGCUGCCCACUUCAUCCCUACCCUGUGAAAUUGGUCUAAACCUUUUUUUACUCUAAAAGUGACGAAUGUAAAAUCGUACUAAAACAACAAAACUUUCAGCAACGGAUCUCUUGGCUCCCGCAUCGAUGAAGAACGCAGCGAAACGCGAAGUGUAAUGUGAAUUGCAGAAUUUACGUGAAUCAUCGAAUCUUUGAACGCAUCUUGCGCUCUUUGGCAUUCCGAAGAGCAUGCCUGUUUGAGUGUCGCAAACCUCUCACGCCCCGAGCUUGUCUCGCUGUGGCUGUGGACCGUGGCCGCCUCUGGCCGGUGCCCUUGGUCGCCGGCCCGGCCGAAAUGCAUGCGGAGCGCCUCUGCUGCCCGCGACGACCGAGCGUUGUAGACCUCUCGCUUGGUUGUUCGUGAAGCGCAGGCUCCUGACCCCAUUUUAUUCGACCUCAAAUCAGGUAGGACUA
Molecule: ribosomal RNA, 502 nt
Filed under: uncultured Sporobolomyces
Lineage: Eukaryota; Fungi; Basidiomycota
Description: eukaryotic LSU rRNA
Rfam family: 5.8S ribosomal RNA (bases 141-295)
Source: RNAcentral